Molecule: ribosomal RNA, 647 nt
Filed under: Bacillus pumilus
Lineage: Bacteria; Bacillati; Bacillota; Bacilli; Caryophanales; Bacillaceae
Description: bacterial SSU rRNA
Rfam family: Bacterial small subunit ribosomal RNA
Source: RNAcentral
GGGCUCGCAGGCGGUUUCUUAAGUCUGAUGUGAAAGCCCCCGGCUCAACCGGGGAGGGUCAUUGGAAACUGGGAAACUUGAGUGCAGAAGAGGAGAGUGGAAUUCCACGUGUAGCGGUGAAAUGCGUAGAGAUGUGGAGGAACACCAGUGGCGAAGGCGACUCUCUGGUCUGUAACUGACGCUGAGGAGCGAAAGCGUGGGGAGCGAACAGGAUUAGAUACCCUGGUAGUCCACGCCGUAAACGAUGAGUGCUAAGUGUUAGGGGGUUUCCGCCCCUUAGUGCUGCAGCUAACGCAUUAAGCACUCCGCCUGGGGAGUACGGUCGCAAGACUGAAACUCAAAGGAAUUGACGGGGGCCCGCACAAGCGGUGGAGCAUGUGGUUUAAUUCGAAGCAACGCGAAGAACCUUACCAGGUCUUGACAUCCUCUGACAACCCUAGAGAUAGGGCUUUCCCUUCGGGGACAGAGUGACAGGUGGUGCAUGGUUGUCGUCAGCUCGUGUCGUGAGAUGUUGGGUUAAGUCCCGCAACGAGCGCAACCCUUGAUCUUAGUUGCCAGCAUUCAGUUGGGCACUCUAAGGUGACUGCCGGUGACAAACCGGAGGAAGGUGGGGAUGACGUCAAAUCAUCAUGCCUCUUAUGACCUGG